RNAcentral lists this ribosomal RNA (392 nucleotides) under uncultured bacterium. RNAcentral describes it as "bacterial SSU rRNA". It matches the Rfam family "Bacterial small subunit ribosomal RNA", at positions 29 to 419 of the family's 1533-position model. The record is from RNAcentral.
AACGAACGCUGGCGGCGUGCCUAACACAUGCAAGUCGGACGAGAAAGUUCCUUUCGGGGAACGAGUACAGUGGCGCACGGGUGAGUAACACGUUGACAACCUGCCUUCCAGUCCGGGACAACCCCGCGAAAGCGAGGCUAAUACCGGAUAAUAAGCCGGGCCGCAUGGCUUGGUUUUGAAAGACUUGUCGCUGGAAGAGGGGUCUGCGGGACAUUAGCUAGUUGGCGGGGUAACGGCCCACCAAGGCUAUGAUGUCUAGCGGGUCUGAGAGGAUGAUCCGCCACACUGGAACUGAGACACGGUCCAGACUCCUACGGGAGGCAGCAGUGGGGAAUUUUGCGCAAUGGGCGAAAGCCUGACGCAGCGACGCCGCGUGAGGGAUGACGGCCUGG